Molecule: ribosomal RNA, 497 nt
Filed under: uncultured bacterium
Lineage: Bacteria
Description: bacterial SSU rRNA
Rfam family: Bacterial small subunit ribosomal RNA
Source: RNAcentral
GUUGGCGGCGUGGAUUAGGCAUGCAAGUCGAGCGAGAAGCUACUUCGGUGAGCAGAAAGCGGCGCAAGGGAGAGUAACGCGUAGAUACCUACCCUCCGGUCUGGGAUAGCCACGGGAAACUGUGGGUAAUACCGGAUAAUGUCCCCGGACCAAAGAUUUAUUGCCGGAGGAUGGGUCUGCAUCCUAUUAGCUUGUUGGUGGGGUAAUAGCCUACCAAGGCUUAGAUGGGUAGCGGGCGUGAGAGCGUGGCCCGUCUCACUGGGACUGAGACACUGCCCAGACACCUACGGGUGGCUGCAGUCGAGAAUCUUCCGCAAUGGGCGAAAGCCUGACGGAGCGACGCCGCGUGCGGGAUGAAGGCCUUCGGGUUGUAAACCGCUGUCAGUGGGGAGCAAAUCCAGUUUACUGGUUGAGCUAUCCGCAGAGGAAGCGCAGGCUAAGUUCGUGCCAGCAGCCGCGGUAACACGAACUGCGCGAACGUUAUUCGGAAUCAUUGG